GAUGAACGCUGGCGGCGUGCUUAAUACAUGCAAGUCGAGCGAACAGACGAGGAGCUUGCUCCUCUGACGUUAGCGGCGGACGUGUGAGUAACAUGUGGAUCACCUACCUAUAAGACUGGGAUAACUUCGGGAAACCGGAGCUAAUACCGGAUAAUAUAUUGAACCGCAUGGUUCAAUAGUGAAAGACGGUUUUGCUGUCACUUCUAGAUGGAUCCGCGCUGCAUUAGCUGGUUGGUAAGGUAACGGCUUACCAAGGCGACGAUGCGUAGCCGACCUGCGAGCGUGAUCGGCCACACUGGAACUGAGACACGGUCCAGACUCCUACGGGAGGCAGCAGUAGGGAAUCUUCCGCAAUGGGCGAAAGCCUGACGGAGCAACGCCGCGUGAGUGAUGAAGGUCUUCGGAUCGUAAAACUCUGUUAUUAGGGAAGAACAAAUGUGUAAGUAGCUAUGCACGUCGUGACGGUACCUAAUCAGAAAGCCACGGCUAACUACGUG
This 497-nucleotide ribosomal RNA is filed under the name uncultured bacterium. RNAcentral's name for it is "partial 16S ribosomal RNA". It matches the Rfam family "Bacterial small subunit ribosomal RNA", at positions 28 to 507 of the family's 1533-position model. The record is from RNAcentral.